AGUGAACGCUGGCGGUAGGCCUAACACAUGCAAGUCGAACGGCAGCACAGUAAGAGCUUGCUCUUACGGGUGGCGAGUGGCGGACGGGUGAGGAAUACAUCGGAAUCUACUUUUUCGUGGGGGAUAACGUAGGGAAACUUACGCUACUACCGCAUACGACCUACGGGUGAAAUCAGGAGAUCUUCGCACCUUGCGCGAUUCAAUGAGCCGAUGUCGGAUUAGCUAGUUGGCGGGGUAAAGGCCCACCAAGGCGACGAUCCGUAGCUGGUCUGAGAGGAUGAUCAGCCACACUGGAACUGAGACACGGUCCAGACUCCUACGGGAGGCAGCAGUGGGGAAUAUUGGACAAUGGGCGCAAGCCUGAUGCAGCCAUACCGCGUGGGUGAAGAAGGCCUUCGGGUUGUAAAGCCCUUUUGUUGGGAAAGAAAAGCAGCAGGUUAAUACCCCGCUGUCCUGACGGUACCCAAAGAAUAAGCACCGGCUAACUUCGUG
RNAcentral lists this ribosomal RNA (492 nucleotides) under uncultured bacterium. RNAcentral's name for it is "partial 16S ribosomal RNA". It matches the Rfam family "Bacterial small subunit ribosomal RNA", at positions 29 to 507 of the family's 1533-position model. The record is from RNAcentral.